GACGAACGCUGGCGGCGUGCUUAACACGUGCAAGUCGAACGGAAAGGCCCUGCUUUUGUGGGGUGCUCGAGUGGCGAACGGGUGAGUAACACGUGAGUAACCUGCCCUUGACUUUGGGAUAACUUCAGGAAACUGGGGCUAAUACCGGAUAGGAGCUCCUGCUGCAUGGUGGGGGUUGGAAAGUUUCGGCGGUUGGGGAUGGACUCGCGGCUUAUCAGCUUGUUGGUGGGGUAGUGGCUUACCAAGGCUUUGACGGGUAGCCGGCCUGAGAGGGUGACCGGCCACAUUGGGACUGAGAUACGGCCCAGACUCCUACGGGAGGCAGCAGUGGGGAAUAUUGCACAAUGGGCGGAAGCCUGAUGCAGCAACGCCGCGUGCGGGAUGACGGCCUUCGGGUUGUAAACCGCCUUCGCCUGUGACGAAGCGUGAGUGACGGUAAUGGGUAAAGAAGCACCGGCUAACUACGUG
Molecule: ribosomal RNA, 468 nt
Filed under: uncultured bacterium
Lineage: Bacteria
Description: partial 16S ribosomal RNA
Rfam family: Bacterial small subunit ribosomal RNA
Source: RNAcentral